GGGAUGGGGUGGGGGGUGCAGAGAAGAGAGCGUUGGACUCCACUAUACUUCCCCUAACUGCCUCUUCACCAGCUUGCUGCCCAUCUCCCUUCCUCGGCUUCCUGUUCACAAAGCUGAAUUACAAGAACUAGGAUGAGGUUCAGUUCUUUUUCUAGGCUUCAAGAAACUCCCUUUUAAAACUUCAUGAUUAUGAUCAGAAAAGGGAAAGUUAUAGUACCUACUUUAGGAGAAUGCAGCCACAUUGCUCUUCAUUUUUUUGGUUGCACGAGGCAGGAGAAGGAAACUUUUUUGUCCUACGUCAUUGUUCUUAGGAGCAUCUCACAGAAGCAGACCUACCCUUGAACUGAUCCCUCAUCUCAAAACGUGGGUGUAAUAUAAACGCACCCCUGACAAAGCAAGACGUUAGGGGGAAAAAGCAACAGCUUACGCAAUACCACAGUGCAAGGGAAGGCGGAGCUUCUCAGUAUUUGCAGACAUGUUAUUAAAUUCUAAUUCUGGCAAACAAUAAAGAGGAAAACAGAAAGAGGCUUUCAACUGGAUGGUAAAAUGCAGUUUGCGUGACACCGUUGACCGUCAACGACAGGAUGCCUUCUUUCACUCACCUCCCAAACAAGUACUACGGAUCCGAUACUCAGGAAGCAUAACAUUCAAACUUUGCUUUCAAGCUAGUAUAAGGAAACGUGCAGCCAGCCCAGACCCUCAGGCCUGCGCAUCAAGAUGGCAGGCUGGCCAAGGGUCCUCUGGGGACAGCAGUGCCAGAAGGAGGAUUGGACACGGUGACCCGUCUGCAUGAGAUGAGGAAAAAAACAACAACAACCAACAACCAGGAGGUCUGUAAUACUGAUGAACUAAUCUGUCACUCACCAGCUCAGGUCUGCAAAAAAGAAAAAAAAAAUGCAGUAAACAUUUAAUGACCAUGAGAGGUGGAAAUAAGAGUCUUCGUUUUUACAUGAUAUGCAAACCCAUGGCUCAGAACCUGCUUAACUGUUUAAUUUGAGUUGAUUUGAAAAAUCAUCAGAAGGCAAGAAUCCACCCUAUAGUUCAAAGGGCUAGGAAGUGUGCUACAGAUAACUAUCAAAAAUCCAGUUGAUUUCCAAGAAUUAUAUGAAUGAACCAAGUUUCUUGAUCUCGAUAUCCUAGGCAGGGAGUUUGUUCUUAAGUACUAGACUGCUUAAUUGCUUGCUUGGGGGAGAGAAAAUCCUGGGGGAAAGACAUUUAUGAGCAAUAUCUGCUCUAUGGAGCCAGUACACUCUCCCGAGCUGGAUCAUGGCCAGCAACACAGAAAAGUCUACUCUUCCUCUCCAGUGGAAGCAAGUGGAUAUUUGAUCUUAGAGAUGAAUGAAAAACCUAAAGAUCAUAUUUCGUGGGAAUCUUUCAGUAUUCUGAAUGGAAAAUAUCACUGAAAAUUGGUUAUUUGCUCCUCUAACCCAAAUCCACUUAGGAACAAAACUAAGAAGGAGGAGUUGUGGGGGUGGAGGACAGAAAUAAUUAUCAUUCCAAUAUGUAUAUGAGGAGGAACACAAACUAACAUUUGCAUUAUCAAAUGGGGUUGUUCACACAGGCUAAGUAGGUAUAAAAGGAUACUGAAAUUACCAGCUGCAAACACACACACACACAAACAACAAAAAACCCAACCAUUUACUUUUGAUUAUGAUUGAAAAGCAGUAAAAAUUAUUUUCACAUUCUCAUCAUUGUUAGAAGUAGUCAUUCGGGUAAAUAUAUUUAUCUGUGCUAAAACAGUUUAAAAGAAAUCAUUUCAAAUACCCAUGCCAUCUUCUGUUUUAUAUCUAUAGAUAGGGGCUCCACUGAGGUUUUCUGACUUUUAUGAUAUGCAUACAGGGCAGUAAGCUACUACUUCUCUUUCCUUUUUGCAGACCAGUGUUUCAGUUUCAGAAGGAGUAAGCAUUUUAGUUUGUACAUUUUUAAUACAGAAAAUGUGUACAACCUUCAGAACAACUGCUUUGAUAAUUUGCUACCUUGCCAAAAGUAUCUGGGUUUUUUCAAAAGCAAAUAAUUUAUGAGAAAUGGAAUCUUCAGAAAACAUGUGGCUACUUUGGUGCAACUAUUUAGAAAGUAUCUGUAACAAGUCAUUAACAUGUAUCAUUCCUGGACAUAUUGAGUCUUUAAAAAUUAGAGCACAUACAAAAUACCAAGCUAAGAAAUAAUAACCACCAAUUUUAACUCCUGACAAAUUAGAUGUUUAAGUCUAGUAUCUGUAAAAUGCACACCAAUUCCCUUCUUUAAAGUACAUAUUUGAACCUUUUAAAAGUAUAUGCCUUUGCAAUUAUUUCCAAUAAACAAUAUUGAAU
Molecule: long non-coding RNA, 2309 nt
Organism: Vulpes vulpes (red fox)
Lineage: Eukaryota; Metazoa; Chordata; Mammalia; Carnivora; Canidae
Source: Ensembl